Asparagus officinalis (garden asparagus) is the source of this 155-nucleotide long non-coding RNA. RefSeq lists it as uncharacterized. Lineage: Eukaryota; Viridiplantae; Streptophyta; Magnoliopsida; Asparagales; Asparagaceae. The transcript is spliced from 3 exons. The record is from RefSeq and is a predicted model, not a curated record.
GUAGACGUUCAUCCUAAGAUUCGAGAGAAUCCCAAUUUCUUCCCAUAUUUCAAGAAAGCAUUGGGAGCAAUUGAUGGAUCUCAUAUUCCUGUAAUUGUGAAGAAAAAGAAACACAACAGCAUCUGAUAUGUCAGUUCUUCGUGCAACAUUGGAAG